UGGGGAUUUUUCCGCAAUGGGCGAAAGCCUGACGGAGCAAUACCGCGUGAGGGAGGAAGGCUCUUGGGUUGUAAACCUCUUUUCUCAGGGAAGAAAAAAAUGACGGUACCUGAGGAAUAAGCAUCGGCUAACUCCGUGCCAGCAGCCGCGGUAAUACGGAGGAUGCAAGCGUUAUCCGGAAUGAUUGGGCGUAAAGCGUCCGCAGGUGGCUGUGUAAGUCUGCUGUUAAAGAGUCUGGCUCAACCAGAUAAAGGCAGUGGAAACUACACGGCUAGAGUGCGUUCGGGGCAGAGGGAAUUCCUGGUGUAGCGGUGAAAUGCGUAGAGAUCAGGAAGAACACCGGUGGCGAAAGCGCUCUGCUAGGCCGCAACUGACGCUGAGGGACGAAAGCUAGGGGAGCGAAAGGGAUUAGAUACCCCUGUAGUC
This 426-nucleotide ribosomal RNA is filed under the name uncultured Anabaena sp. Its description in RNAcentral is "bacterial SSU rRNA". It matches the Rfam family "Bacterial small subunit ribosomal RNA", at positions 355 to 795 of the family's 1533-position model. The record is from RNAcentral. Lineage: Bacteria; Bacillati; Cyanobacteriota; Cyanophyceae; Nostocales; Nostocaceae.